RNAcentral lists this ribosomal RNA (306 nucleotides) under uncultured bacterium. RNAcentral's name for it is "partial 16S ribosomal RNA". It matches the Rfam family "Bacterial small subunit ribosomal RNA", at positions 507 to 807 of the family's 1533-position model. The record is from RNAcentral.
GACAGCAGUCGCCGCGGUAAUACGUAGGGUGCAAGCGUUAAUCGGAAUUACUGGGCGUAAAGCGUGCGCAGGCGGUUAUAUAAGACAGAUGUGAAAUCCCCGGGCUCAACCUGGGAACUGCAUUUGUGACUGUAUAGCUAGAGUACGGCAGAGGGGGAUGGAAUUCCGCGUGUAGCAGUGAAAUGCGUAGAUAUGCGGAGGAACACCGAUGGCGAAGGCAAUCCCCUGGGCCUGUACUGACGCUCAUGCACGGAAGCGUGGGGAGCAAACAGGAUUAGAUACCCCAGUAGUCCCUGUCUCUUAUAC